This 497-nucleotide ribosomal RNA is filed under the name uncultured bacterium. Its description in RNAcentral is "partial 16S ribosomal RNA". It matches the Rfam family "Bacterial small subunit ribosomal RNA", at positions 28 to 507 of the family's 1533-position model. The record is from RNAcentral.
GAUGAACGCUGGCGGCGUGCCUAAUACAUGCAAGUCGAGCGAACAGACGAGGAGCUUGCUCCUCUGACGUUAGCGGCGGACGGGUGAGUAACACGUGGAUAACCUACCUAUAAGACUGGGAUAACUUCGGGAAACCGGAGCUAAUACCGGAUAAUAUAUUGAACCGCAUGGUUCAAUAGUGAAAGACGGUUUUGCUGUCACUUAUAGAUGGAUCCGCGCCGCAUUAGCUAGUUGGUAAGGUAACGGCUUACCAAGGCAACAAUGCGUAGCCGACCUGAGAGGGUGAUCGGACACACUGGAACUGAGACACGGUCCAGACUCCUACGGGAGGCAGCAGUAGGGAAUCUUCCGCAAUGGGCGAAAGCCUGACGGAGCAACGCCGCGUGAGUGAUGAAGGUCUUCGGAUCGUAAAACUCUGUGAUUAGGGAAGAACAAAUGUGUAAGUAACUAUGCACAUCUUGACGGUACCUAAUCAGAAAGCCACGGCUAACUACGUG